This 484-nucleotide ribosomal RNA is filed under the name uncultured bacterium. Its description in RNAcentral is "partial 16S ribosomal RNA". It matches the Rfam family "Bacterial small subunit ribosomal RNA", at positions 30 to 507 of the family's 1533-position model. The record is from RNAcentral.
AUUGAACGCUGGCGGCAGGCCUAACACAUGCAAGUCGAGCGGAUGAAGGGAGCUUGCUCCUGGAUUCAGCGGCGGACGGGUGAGUAAUGCCUAGGAAUCUGCCUGGUAGUGGGGGAUAACGUCUGGAAACGGGCGCUAAUACCGCAUACGUCCUGAGGGAGAAAGUGGGGGAUCUUCGGACCUCACGCUAUCAGAUGAGCCUAGGUCGGAUUAGCUAGUUGGUGGGGUAAAGGCCUACCAAGGCGACGAUCCGUAACUGGUCUGAGAGGAUGAUCAGUCACACUGGAACUGAGACACGGUCCAGACUCCUACGGGAGGCAGCAGUGGGGAAUAUUGGACAAUGGGCGAAAGCCUGAUCCAGCCAUGCCGCGUGUGUGAAGAAGGUCUUCGGAUUGUAAAGCACUUUAAGUUGGGAGGAAGGGCAGUAAGUUAAUACCUUGCUGUUUUGACGGUACCAACAGAAUAAGCACCGGCUAACUUCGUG